Molecule: ribosomal RNA, 917 nt
Filed under: uncultured bacterium
Lineage: Bacteria
Description: bacterial SSU rRNA
Rfam family: Bacterial small subunit ribosomal RNA
Source: RNAcentral
AGAGUUUGAUCCUGGCUCAGAACGAACGCUGGCGGCGCGCCUAAUACAUGCAAGUCGAGCGAGAAGACCGAGCAAUACGUUUGUAAAGCGGCGAACGGGUGAGGAAUACAUGGGUAACCUACCCUCGAGUGGGGAAUAACUAGCCGAAAGGUUAGCUAAUACCGCAUACGACUCUUGGUCUGCGGAUCGAGAGGGAAAGCGAUACCGUGGGUAUCGCGCUCUUGGAUGGGCUCAUGUCCUAUCAGCUUGUUGGUGAGGUAAUGGCUCACCAAGGCUUCGACGGGUAGCUGGUCUGAGAGGACGAUCAGCCACACUGGCACUGCGACACGGGCCAGACUCCUACGGGAGGCAGCAGUAAGGAAUAUUGCGCAAUGGGCGACAGCCUGACGCAGCGACGCCGCGUGGGGGAUGAAGGUCUUCGGAUUGUAAACCCCUUUCGGCAGGGAAGAUGGAACGGGAAACCGUUCGGACGGUACCUGCAGAAGCAGCCACGGCUAACUUCGUGCCAGCAGCCGCGGUAAUACGAAGGUGGCAAGCGUUGUUCGGAUUUACUGGGCGUACAGGGAGCGUAGGCGGUUGGGUAAGCCCUCCGUGAAAUCUCCUGGCCUAACCCGGAAAGUGCGGAGGGGACUGCUCGGCUAGAGGAUGGGAGAGGAGCGCGGAAUUCCCGGUGUAGCGGUGAAAUGCGUAGAGAUCGGGAGGAAGGCCGGUGGCGAAGGCGGCGCUCUGGAACAUUUCUGACGCUGAGGCUCGAAAGCGUGGGGAGCAAACAGGAUUAGAUACCCUGGUAGUCCACGCCUUAAACGAUGGAUACUAAGUGUCGGCGGGUUACCGCCGGUGCCGCAGCUAACGCAGUAAGUAUCCCGCCUGGGAAGUACGGCCGCAAGGUUGAAACUCAAAGGAAUUGACGGGGGCCA